GGGACACGUGGUAUCCUGUCUGAAUAUGGGGGGACCAUCCUCCAAGGCUAAAUACUCCUGACUGACCGAUAGUGAACCAGUACCGUGAGGGAAAGGCGAAAAGAACCCCGGCGAGGGGAGUGAAAAAGAACCUGAAACCGUGUACGUACAAGCAGUGGGAGCACCUUCGGGUGUGACUGCGUACCUUUUGUAUAAUGGGUCAGCGACUUAUAUUCUGUAGCAAGGUUAACCGUAUAGGGGAGCCGCAGGGAAACCGAGUCUUAACUGGGCGUUAAGUUGCAGGGUAUAGACCCGAAACCCGGUGAUCUAGCCAUGGGCAGGUUGAAGGUUGGGUAACACUAACUGGAGGACCGAACCGACUAAUGUUGAAAAAUUAGCGGAUGACUUGUGGCUGGGGGUGAAAGGCCAAUCAAACCGGGAGAUAGCUGGUUCUCCCCGAAAGCUAUUUAGGUAGCGCCUCGUGAACUCAUCUUCGGGGGUAGAGCACUGUUUCGGCUAGGGGGUCAUCCCGACUUACCAACCCGAUGCAAACUACGAAUACCGAAGAAUGUUAUCACGGGAGACACACGGCGGGUGCUAACGUCCGUCGUGAAGAGGGAAACAACCCAGACCGCCAGCUAAGGUCCCAAAGUCAUGGUUAAG
RNAcentral lists this ribosomal RNA (642 nucleotides) under Klebsiella pneumoniae. RNAcentral describes it as "partial 23S ribosomal RNA". It matches the Rfam family "Bacterial large subunit ribosomal RNA", at positions 419 to 1063 of the family's 2925-position model. The record is from RNAcentral. Lineage: Bacteria; Pseudomonadati; Pseudomonadota; Gammaproteobacteria; Enterobacterales; Enterobacteriaceae.